This 535-nucleotide ribosomal RNA is filed under the name Cronobacter sakazakii. RNAcentral describes it as "partial 23S ribosomal RNA". It matches the Rfam family "Bacterial large subunit ribosomal RNA", at positions 2263 to 2797 of the family's 2925-position model. The record is from RNAcentral. Lineage: Bacteria; Pseudomonadati; Pseudomonadota; Gammaproteobacteria; Enterobacterales; Enterobacteriaceae. RNAcentral also lists the same sequence under 3 other names.
GGGUAGUUUGACUGGGGCGGUCUCCUCCCAAAGUGUAACGGAGGAGCACGAAGGUCAGCUAAUCCUGGUCGGACAUCAGGAGGUUAGUGCAAUGGCAUAAGCUGGCUUGACUGCGAGAGUGACGGCUCGAGCAGGUGCGAAAGCAGGUCAUAGUGAUCCGGUGGUUCUGUAUGGAAGGGCCAUCGCUCAACGGAUAAAAGGUACUCCGGGGAUAACAGGCUGAUACCGCCCAAGAGUUCAUAUCGACGGCGGUGUUUGGCACCUCGAUGUCGGCUCAUCACAUCCUGGGGCUGAAGUAGGUCCCAAGGGUAUGGCUGUUCGCCAUUUAAAGUGGUACGCGAGCUGGGUUUAGAACGUCGUGAGACAGUUCGGUCCCUAUCUGCCGUGGGCGCUGGAGAAUUGAGGGGGGCUGCUCCCAGUACGAGAGGACCGGAGUGGACGCAUCACUGGUGUUCGGGUUGUCAUGCCAAUGGCACUGCCCGGUAGCUAAAUGCGGAAGAGAUAAGUGCUGAAAGCAUCUAAGCACGAAACUUGC